This 378-nucleotide ribosomal RNA is filed under the name uncultured bacterium. Its description in RNAcentral is "bacterial SSU rRNA". It matches the Rfam family "Bacterial small subunit ribosomal RNA", at positions 30 to 414 of the family's 1533-position model. The record is from RNAcentral.
CCUGAACGCUGGCGGCGUGGCUAAGACAUGCAAGUCGUACGGGCGUAGCAAUACGUCAGUGGCGAACGGGUGAGUAAUGUAUCGCUAACGUGCCCCCGAGUCAGGGAUAGCUGCCCGAAAGGGCAGGUAAUACCUGAUGAGACCACGACCGGGCAUCCGGUUGUGCUCAAAGCAGCAAUGCGCUCAGGGAGCGGGCGAUGUCGUAUCAGCUAGNGGUGAGGUAACGGCUCACCAAGGCGACGACGCGUAGCCGGACUGAGAGGUUGGCCGGCCACAUUGGGACUGAGACACUGCCCAGACUCCUACGGGGGGCUGCAGUAACGAAUCUUCCGCAAUGCACGAAAGUGUGACGGAGCGACGCCGCGUGUGGGACGAAGU